AGAUAUUACAGUCUCAUAACAGAACGUUUGGACAUGAAAAAGUGGAGGUAGUUAUUGCAAAAGUCUAUUUGAUCUAACUACUAGCAGGGGGAUUUUCAUAAAAUGCACAUUAAGUGGCCUAGGAUCCCUUCACUAGAAUCUGUGCCAUCCACACUAGAGCUGACGGCCCAGAUCUGUUUUUCUAUUUUUGCAUCACAAGGUGUUCUUCUAUUGUAGUCACUCCCAUUGUAGAGUAGAAUGUUUCUCGUAAUCUUUACCUACUAAUAAACCAGCUAUCGCGUCGUGACCAUUUUUGCAAAACAAGCCCCUGUUGUUUGUUGAAUUCAACCCGCAGUCCUAUAUUAAGUGAGUUCCUAAGGAAACGUUUCAUUUUUGCAAACAAGCCCCUGCAUUAGUUGGAAUUCAGCCCGCAGUCAGUCCUUAUAUUCCUUAUCCAUUCCAGACUCCACCGCCGGUCACUCGCCGCCGCUUGGUGCCGGCGUCCACGACGCCGCUCCGACGACCCCUCGCCACCCGCCAUCGCCCGCAGCCACCAGCAGGCCACUAUUCUGUUUCCUCUCAUCCUCCCCCUCGCGCCUGCGUCCCUCCAUGGUCGGCGAGGACCACCUCCGGCCUCCCCUUCCUCUGCCCCGCCUCCUCACCUCGCGCCCGAGUGCCGCUCCUGCAGCACCUCCGCCGUCCGGCUCUGUUUUCUGGUGCCCCGUCGCCGCGGGACCUCCCCUCGCACCGCGUGCUGCUGCUUCCCCUCGCCCAGUCCCGUGCGCCUCAUUCCUCCACGCGAGCGCGCCGCGCCCCGAGCUCCAUCAUCCCCGCUUCGCCCGCGCCUCCUCCUUCCGUCGCUGUCCGCGACCUCCUCUGCUCGCGCAUGACCAUCUCGUUGGCCUCCCCUGCUCAAGCGGGCCAACCACCAGGGACGACGGGGCUCCUAUGGCCGCCGGUGUCAGGAGAAAGAAGGGUGGCGGCGCUCCUGGCGACGAGCAGCAAGCGGAGGCGAGGAGGUGGCGGGGUUCUUGGUGGUCGCCGGCGUGGCGAGGGCCGGAGGAGUCGCCGGCGCGGGCGUCGGGCGCGGUCGGAGCAGAGGAAUGCAGGUCGUGCUCGCGCGCAAGUCCCGUGUCCAAUUUGGAUUGAUUGUAGACCGUGUCCUUGUCGAACACAAGUCAAUGGAGUGCCGAACCCGGAUUGCUGUUUUUUGGUAUGAGAAGGAAGGGUACUCAGCCAUAAUCUCCAUCAGAUCAAUUUUGGAGGAACAUCUAAUGUCGCCGCCGAGUUCGCCGGAGGAAGAAGCGCCGAGUUUGCCGGAGGUACAAGAACAUUGGUCCAGCACUGCGAUGUCGCCUGCGUCUUCUACAUCAGAGGUGCCAAAGGCGUCUGGUAGAACUCAGGUGGAUGCCAAGGAGAUUCGGCUACCGGACAUGCCAUUUGAAAAUAGAUGACAUCGCUGAAAUGAACAUUGCAGAGGAUUUGGAUAACCGACCUUCAAAAAAAGCAAAAAAUUCUGAAACAGGUGUUCUGGAGCCAUCACCAACUAUGUCAGUAUCUUCUCCAAUUUCUGAAUGUUUUGAAUCGAUUGUGCCGGAAUCAGUUUUACCAUUACAUGAUGUUAAGGAACCAGAUUCCAAUAAAGAGAUCAUAGUUGAAGAGAAAUAUGAUUAUCUACCACAAGACAAUACAUUGACCGAUCAUGAUCUAUGUGCUCAUAUAGCAAUAGAAUCACCUUUCAGAAAACAAUUGUUGGUUCAGAUCGAUGGGAGUUCUGUGUUACAAAAUCAGUUGAUGUGUCUGCUAGAUGAAAAAGAGUGGGUAAAUGAUGAUGUAAGUAGUCAAACAGGAAAAUUGUUAUUAAUCACUAAUAUCUAUUACUAAUGUAUUUAAAAAUAAUCUUAAUUAUAUAGGUGAUCAAUGCAUAUAUAUGUUGUAUGAAGGACCAAAUACAUGUCCAGAAUGACAAUAAAGUAUAUUUGAAGA
Long non-coding RNA from Triticum aestivum (bread wheat), 1965 nucleotides. RefSeq lists it as uncharacterized. The transcript has 4 exons. NCBI's taxonomy places the organism in Eukaryota, Viridiplantae, Streptophyta, Magnoliopsida, Poales, Poaceae. The record is from RefSeq and is a predicted model, not a curated record.